Molecule: long non-coding RNA, 1226 nt
Organism: Bos indicus x Bos taurus (hybrid cattle)
Lineage: Eukaryota; Metazoa; Chordata; Mammalia; Artiodactyla; Bovidae
Source: Ensembl
UCUGAAUAUUUUUAUUUGAUUUUUAAUUUUUCAACUAUAUCUGCUGUAUAUAGGUCUCGUAAAAAUGGAUUUUUUUGUUGCUGCUGUUGGGAAUUAAGAAAAAGCUGAGAUGCUUGUUUGGGUCAGUUAAUGCUACAGAAGAGGGACAAUGUGUGGAACAAGAAGAGAGACUCACAGUAGCAGGAGGUCAGAGGCAACUGUGAAAACGGGAGAGCCUGGGAUAUUCAGAGAACUUGGUGAGGAUGUUACUUAGGCAGGCUGGAAACAGACUUCAGCCCAUUUUGUCUAGCUCUCCAGAUGGAAAGCUACAACUGAGAGGCAGGAGUGUGAGUUCUGCAUCUUGAGCUGCAUGUAGUACAGUGCUGGCGCCUAGGAAGUGCUUUAAUACGCUGCGGCUUCUCAGGGAGUCACGAGGAUACCUGCCCCAGAGCUAUUAAGUUCCCUGAGAAUGGCGUGGAAAAUUUAGGUGAAAAAAACAGAUGAUGAGUCCUCAUUUUGAACUUUAAGCAAGGGUUGGGAGCAUAUGGCUCCGUUACAGGAAUGUCAGCAUUUCAUGAAGACAUACUUGGCGUUGUGCAUUGCAGCAGUGUAAUAUCUGGAAGAGCUUACGUGUGCAAAAGUCGUGACAUGAUCAAACGCACUGUGUCACGCCCGUGCCGUGGGUUAAGGGGCCGUGCCCGUCAGAAAGCAGCUUGUGGAACGCUGGUCUUUCCUGUGUGAUGUCUGAAGGUGGCCUGUGCAGAGCUGAGGUAGGUGGUGAACUGCUUCAUCCGGGGCCGGCGGGGCAGGGUGAAGGGUUCCUCGUCACUUACAUGUCAUCUUCUUUCACGCAGCGCCAUCCUGACGGGCCCUACAACAACUCCUUCUGGAUGUUCAAUAGGUCCACCCAGAGGAUUGAGAUGCUGGAGGCCUCCAGGGUGAACAGCAGGCCUCGGGCCAGCCUGCAGCCUCGCAGGGUCUGAGCCUGCCUUCCAGAUUAGAGACCAGACAUCCACACCCAAGAGAGGAGUCGUCAGGUGCAACCUCUCCUGCCAGCCCUCCUCAUCCUCUGCCGUCACCCGGGCCUCCACCCACAUGGCUGCAUCUGCCACCUACCUGCCAGCCUUGGUGGCUCUGCGCUCGGCUUGGCCCCGGGCAGCUGCACUCCGCCACUCCUGUGUCCACCGUCACCCCUUCUGGGGCAGCUGCUUAAUAAAAGCAACACACUGUGAAGAGGGUUUUUAAGU